RNAcentral lists this ribosomal RNA (613 nucleotides) under uncultured bacterium. Its description in RNAcentral is "bacterial SSU rRNA". The stretch from base 1 to 535 matches the Rfam family "Bacterial small subunit ribosomal RNA", at positions 338 to 873 of the family's 1533-position model. The record is from RNAcentral.
CCUACGGGAGGCAGCAGUAAGGAAUAUUGGUCAAUGGACGCAAGUCUGAACCAGCCAUGCCGCGUGAAGGAUUAAGGCCCUCUGGGUUGUAAACUUCUUUUAUAGGGGACGAAAAAAGGGCAUUCUUGCUCACUUGACGGUACCCUAGGAAUAAGCACCGGCUAACUCCGUGCCAGCAGCCGCGGUAAUACGGAGGGUGCAAGCGUUAUCCGGAUUUACUGGGUUUAAAGGGUGCGUAGGUGGGUUGGUAAGUCAGUGGUGAAAUCUUCGAGCUUAACUCGGAAACUGCCAUUGAUACUAUCAAUCUUGAAUCAUCUAGAGGUAAGCGGAAUAUGUCAUGUAGCGGUGAAAUGCUUAGAUAUGACAUAGAACACCAAUUGCGAAGGCAGCUUACUAUGGAUGUAUUGACACUGAGGCACGAAAGCGUGGGGAUCAAACAGGAUUAGAUACCCUGGUAGUCCACGCCCUAAACGAUGGAUACUCGACAUUUGUGAUAUACUAUAAGUGUCUGAGCGAAAGCAUUAAGUAUCCCACCGNGGAGUAACGUACCGCGAGUUAGUAACGUUACAAUAGAGUUGAGGCGNGAGAGNGCGAGACGACGACGAGGGAGAGG